AGAGUUAAACAGUACGUGAAAUUGUUGAAAGGGAAACGAUUAAAGUCAGUCGUACUAACGGGGAAUCAACCUUUUGAGGGUGGAAUUGUGGGAUUCGAAGUGUCUUUGUUUUUCACAAUCUGCUCUUUUUGGGUGCACUUUCUCGUAUUGUAGGUCAACGUCGGUUUCGACCGUUAUAAAAUGACUGGAGGAAUGUAGCUUCGAUCUCGUAUUGAAGUGUUAUAGCCUUUGGUAGAUGUAACGGAUGGGAUCGAGGAUUGCAAUGAAUACCCUCAUGGGCUAUUCGUCUGGCCUCUGACAUGUCACUCUGGUGCCGAAAGCUUGCUUAUGGUAUUAUAGUGUACGGUCAAAAGGUUAGAGCGGAAUGAAAGUUAAGGAUGCUAACGUAAUGGCUUUAAACGACC
Molecule: unclassified non-coding RNA, 404 nt
Filed under: uncultured Glomeromycotina
Lineage: Eukaryota; Fungi; Glomeromycota
Description: sequence contains ITS2
Source: RNAcentral